Molecule: ribosomal RNA, 402 nt
Filed under: uncultured bacterium
Lineage: Bacteria
Description: bacterial SSU rRNA
Rfam family: Bacterial small subunit ribosomal RNA
Source: RNAcentral
UGGGGAAUAUUGGACAAUGGGCGCAAGCCUGAUCUAGCCAUGCCGCGUGAGCGAUGAAGGCCUUAGGGUUGUAAAGCUCUUUCAGUGGGGAAGAUAAUGACUGUACCCACAGAAGAAGCCCCGGCUAACUUCGUGCCAGCAGCCGCGGUAAUACGAAGGGGGCUAGCGUUGCUCGGAAUUACUGGGCGUAAAGGGAGCGUAGGCGGACAUUUAAGUCAGGGGUGAAAUCCCGGGGCUCAACCUCGGAACUGCCUUUGAUACUGGAGAUCUUGAGUUCGGAAGAGGUUGGUGGAACAGCUAGUGUAGAGGUGAAAUUCGUAGAUAUUAGCUAGAACACCAGUGGCGAAGGCGGCCAACUGGUCCGAUACUGACGCUGAGGUGCGAAAGCGUGGGGAGCAAACA